UACGUAGGUGGCAAGCGUUGUUCGGAAUUAUUGGGCGUAAAGAGCUCGUAGGCGGCUUGUCGCGUCGGAUGUGAAAGCCCGGGGCUUAACUCCGGGUCUGCAUUCGAUACGGGCAGGCUAGAGUUCGGUAGGGGAGAUCGGAAUUCCUGGUGUAGCGGUGAAAUGCGCAGAUAUCAGGAGGAACACCGGUGGCGAAGGCGGAUCUCUGGGCCGAUACUGACGCUGAGGAGCGAAAGCGUGGGGAGCGAACAGG
Molecule: ribosomal RNA, 253 nt
Filed under: uncultured bacterium
Lineage: Bacteria
Description: partial 16S ribosomal RNA
Rfam family: Bacterial small subunit ribosomal RNA
Source: RNAcentral